ACGGAAGGCAGCAGUGAGGAAUAUUGGUCAAUGGUCGGAAGACUGAACCAGCCAAGUCGCGUGCAGGAAGACGGUCCUAUGGAUUGUAAACUGCUUUUGUACGGGAAUAAAGUGGGGGACGUGUCCCCCUUGGAAUGUACCGUAAGAAUAAGGGUCGGCUAACUCCGUGCCAGCAGCCGCGGUAAUACGGAGGACCCGAGCGUUAUCCGGAUUUAUUGGGUUUAAAGGGUGCGCAGGCGGAGAUGCAAGCCAGCCGUAAAAUCGUGGGGCUCAACCCCAUUGAGCGGUUGGAACUUCAUCCCUUGAUUGCGGCAGAGGGAGGUGGAACUCGUGGUGUAGCGGUGAAAUGCAUAGAUAUCACGAAGAACUCCGAUUGCGAAGGCAGCCUCCUGGACCGUAAAUGACGCUCAUGCACGAAGGCGCGGGUAUCAAACAGGAUUAGAUACCCUGGUA
Molecule: ribosomal RNA, 453 nt
Filed under: uncultured Petrimonas sp.
Lineage: Bacteria; Pseudomonadati; Bacteroidota; Bacteroidia; Bacteroidales; Dysgonomonadaceae
Description: partial 16S ribosomal RNA
Rfam family: Bacterial small subunit ribosomal RNA
Source: RNAcentral